GGCGGAGCGAAACUCGAAAAAGUGUCUCAGUUCAGAUUGCAGGCUGAAACUCGCCUGUAUGAAGUCGGAAUUGCUAGUAAUCGCGGAUCAGCAUGCCGCGGUGAAUACGUUCCCGGGCCUUGUACACACCGCCCGUCACACCAUGAGAGUCGGGAACACCCGAAGUCCGUAGUCUAACCGCAAGGGGGGCGCGGCCGAAGGUGGGUCCGGUAAUUGGGGUGAAGUCGUAACAAGGUACC
This 239-nucleotide ribosomal RNA is filed under the name uncultured bacterium. RNAcentral's name for it is "partial 16S ribosomal RNA". It matches the Rfam family "Bacterial small subunit ribosomal RNA", at positions 1261 to 1500 of the family's 1533-position model. The record is from RNAcentral.